GUCUUGCUGGUGGAAUGGUAGACACGAUUGAUUCAAAACCAAUUGCUAAUAAGCGUGGAGGUUCAAGUCCUCUGCAAGAUA
This 81-nucleotide transfer RNA is filed under the name Partenskyella glossopodia. RNAcentral describes it as "tRNA-Leu". It matches the Rfam family "tRNA". From Rfam's summary of the family: Transfer RNA (tRNA) molecules are approximately 80 nucleotides in length. Their secondary structure includes four short double-helical elements and three loops (D, anti-codon, and T loops). Further hydrogen bonds mediate the characteristic L-shaped molecular structure. tRNAs have two regions of fundamental functional importance: the anti-codon, which is responsible for specific mRNA codon recognition, and the 3' end, to which the tRNAs corresponding amino acid is attached (by aminoacyl-tRNA synthetases). tRNAs cope with the degeneracy of the genetic code in two manners: having more than one tRNA (with a specific anti-codon) for a particular amino acid; and 'wobble' base-pairing, i.e. permitting non-standard base-pairing at the 3rd anti-codon position. The record is from RNAcentral. Lineage: Eukaryota; Cercozoa; Chlorarachniophyceae.